Molecule: long non-coding RNA, 1379 nt
Organism: Phyllostomus discolor (pale spear-nosed bat)
Lineage: Eukaryota; Metazoa; Chordata; Mammalia; Chiroptera; Phyllostomidae
Exons: 2
Source: RefSeq, a predicted model, not a curated record
AUAUCAUGCAUAUCCUAAAACUCUCUACCACAAAAAAAUAAGAAUACACAAACACAACAAUGGCAGAUGAUUUCUCUGCUCUCACAUGUCUAAAAUUAAACUGCAAUAAAUAAAUUAAUUAAUUUUUAUGAAGUCCUUAUACCUCAUCCCUAAAAGAAUAUACCAUAUGGUUUACACAUUUCACCACACACACAGAAGAAUCUAUCUGAUGAACACUUUUCCAAAUCCAGCAGUUAAGACAUUUAACCAUCCAGAGCACUUGAAAUUACAGAUAUCAAAAAUGUAACCACAUGGAAUUUUUACUUUUUCUAAAUAUGAUUUCUGGGAAACAAUCAACUCCAACUAUACUUUUAGUGGGGAUCUUCCUACUCAGCUGCCCCAGAACUGUACUCAGCUGUCAGCAAUGCCCUUGCCUCCUCCUGCAGACACAGCAUAUGUCCUCCAUGUUCUUUUCUCAAAGGGAAAGUUGCAAACAGUGUUUUUCUCCUUGUCGUUAUUCAUCCUUUGGGAGAAGUUAUUCCUAACCCAUGAAUUUCCCAUGUACCAUCAAUUUCCCACAGUUUUGCAGCAGUGAUCACUGGGAUCCUUGCCUUUGGCAAAGAAAUCUCCUGCCAUAUUCUCAGGCUUAGGAGUAAGCAAUAGAAUAUGUUUACCAGAAUGUGCAUUAUUUUUGACACAGAUUCAUAGAAUCGUUGGGAUUUCCCAAUGAUGAAAGUCAAUAUAUCGUUUUGCCAGAAAGCAUUAAAAUAGCAACCUUUCGAAGUCUUGCCUUAUAUCAGAGUUUUUAAACUUUAUCAAGAGGACAGGUACCCAGAAAAUAGGAUGUAGUAACCCUUAAGUGAAACUGUAUGGGGAAAAGAGAGAUAAUGCUCCUUUUACUAACAUAGAUAGCUGUGUCUGUGGGUUCUGUAUCUGUAGAUUCAACCAAUUGUGGACCUAUAAUAUCCUUUCAAUGUUACAUUGUUGCUGACAUGAACUAUGUAGUUAGGUCUAAAAUAGCUGCUGUAUACUAAACAUGUACAGACUUGUUUUUGGUCAUCAUUCCCUAAAUAAUACAGUAUAACAACUAUUCACAUAGCAUUCACAUUGUACUGCAUUAUAAUCUAGAGAUGAUUUAAAGUAGGUGGGAAGAUAUGCCCAGAUUAUAUGUAAAUCUUACGCCAUUUUACAUAAAGGAAUUGAGCGUCCCCAGAUUUUGGCAUCGGCAGGGGUGUCGGACAUCCUGUAACCAAUCCCCCAAGGAUGCUGAGGGAUGGCUGUGCUCUGACAUCAUAGACAAUGGAGAUGGAAAGGAUCACAACAUUCCUCAUCACGAUAAUUUCCUAAAGCACUUCUUUAAAACUAGACUUCUCUGGGAAAACCAACCAGUCACUUUAAAA